GGGAGGAGGUGAAAAUAUCAACAUUAACAGGAGUUUGAAGAAAGUUUAUUCCAACCCUCAUGGAUAACUGAGAAAUUGAAGACUUCAGUGGAGGAAGCAACUGCAUAUGUGGUAGACAUACCAGAACAACUGGAAUUAAAAGUGGACUCUGAAGAUGUGACUGAAUUGCUGCAAUUUCAUGAUAAAAAUUUAAUGGAUGAGGAGUUGCUUCUUGUGGAUGAGUAAAAAAUGUGAAGUGUUUUUUUUUUUGAGAAGAAAUUUAUUCCUGGUGAAGAUGUUGUGAAUAUUGUGGAAAUGAUAACAAAGCCUUUCAAAUAUUAGAUAAACUUAGUAGAUAAAGCAACAGCAGGGUUUGAGAAAAUUGACUCUAAUUUUGAAGGUUUUUGAGUAAAAUGCUAUCAAAAAGCACUGCAUGCUACAGAGAAAUCUCUCACGAAAGGAAGAAUUCAUUCAUGUGGCAAACUGUAUUGUUGUCUUAUUUUAAGAAUUUGCCACUGCCACCCUAACUUUUUGCAACCACUAGUCUGAUCAGUCAGCCGCCAUCCACAUAAAGGUCAGUGAGAGAGCAUAUGCCCUGGUAGCUGCCUGAGAAAAGGAACAGGAGCAUGAGAGUUUCAGUGUUUUACACAUUGCUGGUCUGAUAUCUCAGCUUCAUUCACAGAGACCGGGCUGCAGUGUGUCCUGGGCUUUGGAAUUAUUGUAAGAUUCUCAAGUGAUUUUACUGUGCAAGCAGCUUUGGCAACCAUUGUCUAAAAAGGUAUGUAGAAUUAGAAGAGAAAACGGGUGAGGAGAGAACCAUGGUAAAAGUGUUGGCUGAACAAGAGGAGCCUGCCAAGGAGAGUAAGAGGAAACUUUAUGGUGGAAGAGAUCUGGGGAAGUAUAGUUUCCUGGAAAGAGGAGAAGAGGGAUGCAGAAUG
This is a long non-coding RNA of Symphalangus syndactylus (siamang), 917 nucleotides long. RefSeq lists it as uncharacterized. The record is from RefSeq and is a predicted model, not a curated record. NCBI's taxonomy places the organism in Eukaryota, Metazoa, Chordata, Mammalia, Primates, Hylobatidae.